This 266-nucleotide long non-coding RNA is filed under the name Homo sapiens (human). Its description in RNAcentral is "HSALNT0026158". The record is from RNAcentral. Lineage: Eukaryota; Metazoa; Chordata; Mammalia; Primates; Hominidae.
GGACGAUGAGGCAAUGCCUAUUCCAGGGAUGUUUUCCACAGUAAAUCUGAGUCCGGCUCCGUGAGAUUGAAGUCCCUGGGAGUGAGGCUCUGGGGCGGCUUGACCGACUCCAGCAGAGUAAAUCCCCAGAGUGGAUGACGACUUUCCAGCUGGAAAUGGAGCAGGAUCUAACCAGGAAGAGGAAUGGCAACUACUCAGCCGGACUCAGCAGCGGGCAGGAGCCUCCGAGGGCACAGGAAUUCAACGCAUCAAACUUCUGUUUGGAG